RNAcentral lists this long non-coding RNA (3440 nucleotides) under Linum usitatissimum (flax). RNAcentral describes it as "long non-coding RNA (LUSI_LNC007222)". Lineage: Eukaryota; Viridiplantae; Streptophyta; Magnoliopsida; Malpighiales; Linaceae. The record is from RNAcentral.
AGGGAUUUUUCAUUUGGGGUUUAUUUACGUUCAUUAUUUAUUUUUUGGUCUGACACUUUAUGGUUGCGUUGUAACUGAGUUGUUGACUUUGCUGAGUUUUUAUUGAGCUCAGUCCAGUUCGUUUGCGACCGAACUGCUUCUUCUUUUCAUGCCUCUCCAACAAAAAAAAUCAUCUUAUGGUUUCUUCUUCUGCUAUUUUUAGUCUGAUUGCAAAGGAAGUUUGUUCGACAGUCAACUUCUGUCCUUAUCCCUGUUUGAUAAGUCCUUUCACCCAUUUCAAUUUCCCGUGAAAUCAUCCAUUCAAUCUUCUCCCUCCUCUUCGUUUUGUUUUCUCUCCUUCUUCUCCAAAAAGCUCAACUUUGCAUCUGCAUCAUCGUUCAUUCUUUUUCCUUUUCUUCGUUUUCCUUCUCUCUCAAGAAGAGAGCUUUUGUAUCCCAGCUUACCCAAAAAAAAAUUACAUCUCUGAUCUCACCUCCUUAUUUUCUACCAGUUGGUAAAACUAGAAGCUUGCCUAGAAUUAUUUGCUGAGGAAUGAAAGAAGGAGGAAGACAUAUUCUUUCAUUAAAGUUGCUGUGAAAGUCACUUGUUUCUUUAAAAUCAACGAUUAGUGAGUCCAUUUUAGCCUCUCUGUAUUCAUUUUAGGCUUUUUGUACUCUCAAGGGUGUGGUGUUCUAACUAAAUGUUGUCUGGGUAGAUCAGGUCUUUGCUUUUUCAUUUUGUAGAAUGUUUUAUGUGAACAUUCACGAUGUUCUUCGCGGGAAGACUUUCCCAAUAGGUUGGUGAUGGGGUAGAUAAUAGAUUUAUUUCCCAUCUAGCUUGGUAUGUUGAUGAUUGCUAGGACUAAGUGGAAUCAACAAAUAUCAUGAUGAGUUAUGUUCCAGUAAAACUCUUGAUAGUAUACAGAUUUAUUAUUACCUUUAUGUUAUUUUAUCUAGCCACAUGCCCAUAUUCAUCUCAUCUGAAACCAAUUAUAAAAUCGCUGCCCUGUGUUGGUUUUGUAUGAUCUCAUUCAUGAUUAACUUGCUCUGUGAUAAUUAUGAACAUGAAUUGCAUCAUUAAUGGGUAGCUUCCUAUUAGUUGAAUACUUUAUUUUUUUUCUCAUUAUUCAUAUAAUUUGUUCACAUUUGGGGUUGGGGUUUGAAUUAUUUUGUAUUUGCAUCAAAAUAUUGUUGUUGGGUGAGUUCAGUUUCAUAUAUGUGUUUUUACAAUGAAAAUGAACGCAACUGUGAUCACUUCCAUAUAUUCUGGCAGAAUUUCUGAAUUUCAUUCACUCUAAUCGACUAUUUUAAUCCUCACAGAAAUCAAAUGUAUUGUGUAUUUUGACUGAAUCUGUGACUUGUUGUUUGCAGGGUGAACAGUCAGGGUGAUCCGCACAAGAAACUCCUUAGGGUUCUAUAGAAACGUAUCUCUGUCAACUCUAUCUACAAUGUUUCAGGCUAUACCAUUUGCCCCCACUGGUGAGCUACCACACCCGAUGGUUUCCUCAUUAGUUCUCACUUACUCAUGCUAUGAAGUUUCAACUAUAUAUGACGGAAUAGAGCAUCUUUAGUCUCUCUCUCACCCUUUUGCCCAUGUGCCACUCCAAACAUCUGUAGUCAAGGUACUUUCUAAAACAAUCUUUCUUUGAGAUGCAAUUUCAAUCAUCCCAUAUUGCUUUAUAUGUAAUUUUUCUCAAUGUACACAAUUUAUUUCUUUUUAUGGAUGGUGGUUACUUCUCUGCUAAUUUGUAUUUCUACUCUCUUAUAUGAAUGUUGUUGGAACAAUUGCAGUUCCACCCACUGAAACAAAAAUCAAAGACGAAAAUUUUCCUCGCAACCUUGAUGCACCCCAAAUGUCUGCUCAACAGAUUUCGGCCACACUGUAUGAAUCUUUGCUGGCUGACUUUCAAUAUUCAUUUGCACCAUGUCGUUCUUACAUGCAUGUGUUUAUCGUGGUUAUUUUCAAGACAGCAUCCCCCUAGCCAACAUUCAAACAGGAAAGUCUCACCCGCCACGUGCACAAAAUAAUUAGGUGAUUGUUUACCCAGGAAAAAAGUAAUGUACCAUACUACCCUUAGGCUUCUUCACAAAAUUGCCGUGGGACAUCGUCGCCUUGUAUCGUUCCUUCCUUCUCCGGCCAAGUCGUCGGAGUCAGUGUAUAAUUAGGAUUCUCUUUUCCCUUUCAUGUAUUGAAUAUCAAAAUGAGGCUAUAGAACGUGAGAAGAUCAAAGGCCAUAGGGCUAUACCUUGUGGAGUAUUAAUUAAUACACGUGUUUCGUUUGAGUGUUAGAGCGGAAACGAGAAGCCAUGUAAUUGUUAUCCAUCACGAUCGGGUAAGUGUAAAAUUUGAAGAUUGUUUACGUUGAUCAAUUGUUUUUAAAAAUCAGACCGCCCAGUUGAACUGGUCGAAUCAUAUACCGAUCAACUGGCCAAGCUGGUACAAUCUGAUUUGACAAGAAUGGUUAUUGAACUAGUGGACAUCGAAAGAAAAAGUGUACAGCUUCUUCCAAAGCCUCCAAACAAACCCAGUAAAUGGUGUCGUAUGAACAUAUUGGUAGAAGAAAGGAAGUUUGCUGCAUAAUUAAAUCUAUAUAAAGUGUCAACCGUCUACGUAUAGUGAACAGCCGGAACACUUCAUUCACGCACAAAAAACUGUUUAUUAGUGGAUUCUUAUCCUCUCGUGUGUUCAUUUACGCACAUGGAUGCUGUAAACUGACUCUUCCAGAUUGUGUCAUAUUAAUGAUUUCAAAUUGGACAGCAAAGGCACCACGUGUACGGUGUGGAAAGUAUAAAAAAUAUAUAAAGUAUUGUUUUUGCCUUUUUCAUAUGAGGUUUUUAUUGUGUGGAAGAUACAAAGGGAUUUUUCAUUUGGGGUUUAUUUACGUUCAUUAUUUAUUUUUUGGUCUGACACUUUAUGGUUGCGUUGUAACUGAGUUGUUGACUUUGCUGAGUUUUUAUUGAGCUCAGUCCAGUUCGUUUGCGACCGAACUGCUUCUUCUUUUCAUGCCUCUCCAACAAAAAAAAUCAUCUUAUGGUUUCUUCUUCUGCUAUUUUUAGUCUGAUUGCAAAGGAAGUUUGUUCGACAGUCAACUUCUGUCCUUAUCCCUGUUUGAUAAGUCCUUUCACCCAUUUCAAUUUCCCGUGAAAUCAUCCAUUCAAUCUUCUCCCUCCUCUUCGUUUUGUUUUCUCUCCUUCUUCUCCAAAAAGCUCAACUUUGCAUCUGCAUCAUCGUUCAUUCUUUUUCCUUUUCUUCGUUUUCCUUCUCUCUCAAGAAGAGAGCUUUUGUAUCCCAGCUUACCCAAAAAAAAAUUACAUCUCUGAUCUCACCUCCUUACUUUCUACCAGUUGGUAAAACUAAAAGCUUGUCUAGAAUUAUUUGCAGAGAAAUGAAAGGAGGAAGAAGGCGCAUUCUUUCGUUAGAAUUGUUGAGAAAGUCACUUACUUCUCCAAAAUCAACGAUCA